GACGAACGCUGGCGGCGUGCUUAACACAUGCAAGUCGAACGAUGAAGCCUAGCUUGCUAGGUGGAUUAGUGGCGAACGGGUGAGUAAUACGUGAGUAACCUACCUUUAACUCUGGGAUAAGCCUGGGAAACUGGGUCUAAUACCGGAUACGACCAAUCUCCGCAUGGGGUGUUGGUGGAAAGCGUUAUGUAGUGGUUAUAGAUGGGCUCACGGCCUAUCAGCUUGUUGGUGAGGUAACGGCUCACCAAGGCGACGACGGGUAGCCGGCCUGAGAGGGUGACCGGCCACACUGGGACUGAGACACGGCCCAGACUCCUACGGGAGGCAGCAGUGGGGAAUAUUGCACAAUGGGCGCAAGCCUGAUGCAGCGACGCCGCGUGAGGGAUGACGGCCUUCGGGUUGUAAACCUCUGUUAGCAGGGAAGAAGAGAGAUUGACGGUACCUGCAGAGAAAGCGCCGGCUAACUACGUGCCAGCAGCCGCGGUAAUACGUAGGGCGCGAGCGUUGUCCGGAAUUAUUGGGCGUAAAGAGCUUGUAGGCGGUUUGUCGCGUCUGCUGUGAAAGGCCGGGGCUUAACUCCGUGUAUUGCAGUGGGUACGGGCAGACUAGAGUGCAGUAGGGGAGACUGGAAUUCCUGGUGUAGCGGUGGAAUGCGCAGAUAUCAGGAGGAACACCGAUGGCGAAGGCAGGUCUCUGGGCUGUAACUGACGCUGAGAAGCGAAAGCAUGGGGAGCGAACAGGAUUAGAUACCCUGGUAGUCCAUGCCGUAAACGUUGGGCACUAGGUGUGGGGAACAUUCCACGUUUUCCGCGCCGUAGCUAACGCAUUAAGUGCCCCGCCUGGGGAGUACGGCCGCAAGGCUAAAACUCAAAGAAAUUGACGGGGGCCCGCACAAGCGGCGGAGCAUGCGGAUUAAUUCGAUGCAACGCGAAGAACCUUACCAAGGCUUGACAUAUACUGGACCGCAUCAGAGAUGGUGUCUCCCUUCGGGCUGGUAUACAGGUGGUGCAUGGUUGUCGUCAGCUCGUGUCGUGAGAUGUUGGGUUAAGUCCCGCAACGAGCGCAACCCUCGUUCUAUGUUGCCAGCACGUUAUGGUGGGGACUCAUAGGAGACUGCCGGGGUCAACUCGGAGGAAGGUGGGGAUGACGUCAAAUCAUCAUGCCCCUUAUGUCUUGGGCUUCACGCAUGCUACAAUGGCCGGUACAGAGGGUUGCGAUACUGUGAGGUGGAGCUAAUCCCUAAAAGCCGGUCUCAGUUCGGAUUGGGGUCUGCAACUCGACCCCAUGAAGUCGGAGUCGCUAGUAAUCGCAGAUCAGCAACGCUGCGGUGAAUACGUUCCCGGGCCU
Molecule: ribosomal RNA, 1347 nt
Filed under: uncultured bacterium
Lineage: Bacteria
Description: bacterial SSU rRNA
Rfam family: Bacterial small subunit ribosomal RNA
Source: RNAcentral